AUAAAGUUCAAACAUAUUCACGCAUCCAUAUUGACUCGGGCACUGUUCAUGGGUCAUUUUUCUCCUACAGUGGGGUGACACGUAUCUGUUUAUUGCAUAUGAUUAUUUUUUCUUUGCGUUUGGCAGUAACUUUCCACCAGUUUUUCCUGAGAGUUCGGUAACCGGCUACCGGCAAACAGAUUUGUAGCGCGUUUGUUCACCAGUCUCCUCCCGGUUUCCUUUCCUUGAUGUGUUUAAUUUGGUCAAAGCGGUGCUGGACCCACCACCGAGCAAUUUUGCGGUUUUGGAUUGGGACGUGGGAUCUACACGUGCGUCCCUAAUCUUCUCUCUGGACGUUUCUCCACUAUCUCCACCUCCAUCCGCCUCCCAUCAGGUCUUCUCUCUGAAUUGGGUGAGAUGACCGAGCUCUUUCUUCCCUAAUCGCCGCCGUUCCCUAAUACUAGCAUUCCCUCCGGCCCUGGCCGUUUUCCACGCUCGCCCAAACUGCUCGCUCGCGCCGCGCUCCACCGGCUGGCACGGGCUGCCGCGCGAUGGCCAGCCGCCGCCCCUGCGUGUGCCUCGCGCCGCCUGCGCCGCGGGGCCGACAACGGUGGCGGGAGGCAUGAAGAAGGCCGCCACGGGGCUGCCAGCAGGGUCAGCGGCCUCCUCUACGGUGAAGACGGCAGGGCAUGCUGCUGCGGCGUCAUCUCUUAUCUCCGGCAAAGGCGGUGACAAUGGAGGCGACCGGAAGGCUGCUGCUGCUUUACCCAUAGCAGUCGCUUCGGGGGAUCCCGCCGCGGUGAAUGCGUGGUGGAUGGGCAAGCUGUUUCCGUUGGUUCAUCGAAGGUAGGCGCGCUGCGAUCCCGCACAGGUGAGGGGUGCGGCCGGGCGGAAGUCUUUUUUUCUCACCUUCCUGAUCUAUUUCCUUAUCAUUACCCUCUAAAUUGUUCUCAGAUAUGUCCUUUUUUGCGGGUAAUUUUCCUCAGAUAUGCCCGUUUUGAUUAUUACCUUUACCUCUCUGUGUGAUAUUGUUCGUCUGAUUAUUUUGUUUCAACGAUGGUAUACAUCAUCAUUUCCAGGCUAUUAGAUGUGAUGCCUGAGAGAAGAGGCUCUUAGGAAUAGCAAAGCUGGAGAUGGUUAAUUCGUUUUUGUGUUUUAGAUAAUCCUAUUUGACAUAAAUUUACCAUAAUUUUGACUCAAAGGAUGAGAAGAGGAGGAAGGUAGCAGUGUGAGUACCGGCAGAGGAGGUGGCAGGAAAGAGUGCCGCUGAUGAUGGCAUGCUGAGGGGCGACGAGAUGGCGGCAGCCUUCGGCAUGGCAGCACAUCAAGAUGCGACGCCCAGUCAUAUCCGUUUGUUGUUCUGUCCGCUGAGAUGCUCACAUGCGGGAGAUCUGUCCUGCAAAGAACCCGGCUGGAAAUUGUGUGGGUGGGCAUUCAGUAACUUCCCCAGCUAUUCAGAACUAAAUUCUUGGAUGUUAACCCAUGGUUUUUCUCUGGUUAUUUACGCCCAUGAUAGAAUCAGUACCAGCCAGCCUUACAUCUAUAUCCUUUUUUUCAGCCAGAGCCCCUUGCCCUGUCUUUCCACUGGAGCAUUAUCAAAUCCACAUUUACAGCUAAUGGUAAGGUUCUACAUACCGAAGUAACUAUACCAUCUACUGGAUCAAGCUGGAUCAAGCCAAGACAGAAUUCAUUAGAGAUAAUGUUAUGGUUAAGAAUCCGAUCAUCUUUCUUCCCAAGGUUCUCCACUACUAUGCAAAGGCAAAACGAUGUUGAACUACAGUUGCCUCAUCUGAUUGACAUGGUAUGCAAGAGCAUGCCUGAUGCCCAACAAAAAGAAAUGAGGAAACAUCUCUGGAGGACGAUAGAUAGGUGUGUUGAAUGGUUGCCAUAAAACUUUUCGUUCAUCCUUCUCCUUAUCUCUUCACAGAUCUUUCGUCUAGAAGUGAAUAUAAACAACACCGGAGGCUUCUCAUAUGAAUCUUUUAUAGAGUUCAUAGAUGGCUGAAGCUUUUUAUAUCUAUUCAAUCAUGUCUCUAUAUGUUUUUCGGUCUUCACCACAGAUCUUUCGUCUAGAAGUGAAUAUAAACAACACCGGAGGCUUCUCAUAUGAAUCUUUUAUAGAGUUCAUAGAUGGCUGAAGCUUUUUAUAUCUAUUCAAUCAUGUCUCUAUAUGUUUUUCGGUCUUCACUACGAAUUGUUUCCCUGUAUGGGAAGUAUCAUUUUUUCUAGGUAUGUAUGUCGUCUUCUACCCUUUAUCUGGAGAUUUUGUGUGACAUGCAUGUGAACAACUCCUAUCUAGAUAUGCCCCUUGCAGUAAUUUACUUGGCCAAGACAACUGACUUUAGAUGAUCCAGGACUUUACUCAAGGGCUAUUUCAUAAUCAUUUUUUUUCUGUAAUUGCACAUGUUGCAUUAGCACAUAGAUGGGAAUAACAUCCACAAAGAUAAAUACCGACAAUUUAGAGGCACCUCUUAAAUUAAAAGGGCAUAAAGGGAUUAGUGACCAAGAUUCAGAGCCUAAAUUCUUCUAAUUGCCCUGCCGACUCUAUUUUCUUGAUGGUUCAAACUCAAGAUAUUAUUUAGGCUCUGUGAGAAGAAUAGGUACUGUUUAUUCACAACUUUAAUUGUUCAUAACAACCUAUUCCUAUGAUCCUGAAUCUUUGAUUGUUCCAAGUAUUUUUUACCAUACAUAGUUAGAUGAAUAAAAUUAUUCUUAGGUUGUCUUCUAUGUUUCUUUUGAGCACUCUGCGUUAUUGCCAACAGGGUGUGUAUGGAUAAAUCUACUCGCGUCCUUUAGCUAUCUCCACUUAUUGAUGUAAUUUUGUAGGAAGAUGGUACACUAUUGUAAAGAAUGCAAUUUGCACUUAGUUGUGUGUCAUCUGCUCUUUGUUAGCUUGACUUGAGAAGUGCAUAUCUCAGAUGAGCAAGGCAAAACUAUUAAAUUUGUAGUGAUUUAGAUAAGGUCCGAAGCUAUAGUUCCUACAGAAGCUCAUGUAUAUCGUAGUUGUUUUCAUAAAUUGUAUUCUUCUUUCACUACACAUAUGACAUAGCUAUCUUGAGAUCUUAUUUUUGCCUGAUAAAUAUACUAAACUGUACAAUUAAUAACAUACAUGAUGUGUCUAUUUGCCAAAACCUACCUUUUCUCAUGGGCAGCUUUAUGGUGUCAUCUCAAGGAUAAUUUCUAGGAGAGGGAUGAAUACCCUUGCGCACGAUGAAAAUGGAGAACCAACUUUACAGACAAGAAACAUGAGUGUACAAAGAGAAUCAGAACUAUGUUCAAGGGCUCGACCCGAAGCUGGUGCAACUGAUGGUUACAGAUUUUCGGUGCUCAAACGACCAAUGAGAAAUAGAUCCCUUGCAAAUAUAAUGGACUUAGGCUAGACAGAGGUACCAUAUACACAGUGUUCUCUUUUCUGUACUUUUUUAGCUACUCUCUGUAUUCUGUGUUGUUGUACAUGGCUGUAAAAAACAAGUAUAUCAGGAGUCUCCCUUUUUAUUUU
Molecule: non-coding RNA, 3478 nt
Organism: Lolium perenne
Lineage: Eukaryota; Viridiplantae; Streptophyta; Magnoliopsida; Poales; Poaceae
Source: RefSeq, a predicted model, not a curated record